GUCUACAGCCAUGCUAUCCUGAACAAGCCCGAUCCUGUCUGAUCUUGGAAGCUAAGCAGGGUCGGGCCUGCUUAGUACUUGGAUGGGAUACCAACUAGAAAGAUCAGGUGCUGUAGGCA
This 119-nucleotide ribosomal RNA is filed under the name Pteropus alecto (black flying fox). The record is from RNAcentral. Lineage: Eukaryota; Metazoa; Chordata; Mammalia; Chiroptera; Pteropodidae.